GAUAUAACGGGACUUGAAUCACCAAUAUGGUUAGACAUUGAUUUUCUAAUUUGUUUUACUUUUACUGCUAUGGAAUCAGAAAUUCAAAGAAAAAUAGAGGAAACAGUCUUGGACAUACUGAACAAAUCCAACAUGGAAGAAGCCACCGAGUUCGGCAUACGACUCGCUGCCUCGGAGAGACUCGGUAUCGACCUCUCCGACUCCAUCAGUAAACACUUUGUUAGAAGCAUAGUUGAGUCGUAUCUUCUCUCCAUUAUGGCCAAUGGAAAGGCGGAGAAGAAGGAAAAUGUAGUCAGUGUCGAUGAGGAGACGGAGGUGGUGAAACUGAAGAGGGAAGAUCCUGAACGUAUUAUUUGUCAUCUGUCGAAUAGGAGGAACGUAUCCGUGAAAGCAUUCAGAGGGACGUCACUAGUCUCAAUUAGGGAGUUCUAUAUGAAAGAUGGAAAACUACUUCCUGGUUGUAAAGGUAUUAGUUUACCUUCUGAGCAAUGGUCAAUCUUCAAGGAGAGUGUUCCUGCAAUAGAAGAAGCUAUCUUAAAGAUGGAAGGAAGGAUGAGAUUGGAGGUUAAUGGUAAGCAACAUGAAGAUGGGUCAAAAUCGGUUGUCGCGGCUGCUCCUCUUGAGCCUGUUGUCCCUGUUCCUCCACUUGAGCCUAUAGUCCCUAUUGAAGUUGUCCGUUUUGAUGGGAAGAAUUUCCAUUUCUGGGCUCAGCAGAUGAAAUCACUAUUGAAACAAUUAAAGAUUGAACAUGUACUAAUUGAACCAUGCCCGAAUGCUGCAUUAGGGGAAGGUGCAAAGGCCGAAGACAUUGCUGCAGCCAAGGCUGCAGAAAGGAGAUGGUUAAAUGAUGAUGUAGUGUGUUGCCGCAAUAUCUUGAGCCAUUUAUCUGAUCCUCUUUUCAACCAGUAUGUGAACAGAAAAAUGAGCAGCAAGGAAUUAUGGGAAGAGCUAAAAAUGGUUUAUCUGUAUGAGGAAUUUGGAACCAAGAGAUCUCAAGUGAAAAAGUAUAUUGAAUUUCAGAUAGUUGAUGAAAAAACAGUGAUUGAGCAAGUCCGAGACCUAAAUGGCAUUGCAGAUUCUAUUGCUGCUUCUGGAAUAAUCAUUGACGAUAACUUUCAUGUUAGUGUCAUCAUUUCAAAGCUUCCACCAUCCUGGAAGAACUUCUGCAUCAGGUUAUUGCGUGAGGAAUAUUUACCUUUCUGGAAGUUAAUGGAAUGUAUACAGGUAGAGGAAGAAUUUCGGUGUGGAGUACAACGAGGGGGUGAACAUUCUUACAGUAUGGGAUUUCACCCGGGCAGUAGAGGUGGUGGACAGAGGAGCGUUGACUAUAAGCCACCAGGAAUCUGGAGGAAUAGGCCAUAAAUCAAUGCCAGGAGCUUAUCCUGUAAUGUAUGUGGCAAGAGGGGACAUCUUUCAAAAAAUUGCUGGAGAAGAAGUGACAGGCAAACUAAUGAAAGGAGAGCAGAAGAUGAUCUCAGCACAUCUACCACAGAAGUUGAUACUCAGGCUUCUAUUCCUACCGACAAAUUGAUUCUGGACGGUAGUGUGGGGUUGUGUAAUUGCCGUGGACAAAAGUAUCAAAUGACUUUGGGUAUGAAAUUUGUAAAUUAUUUCUUGUCUUUUAGAAAUAAUUCUCUUGUCAACUGAAAAAAAAAUGUUUUUUUCUUAAUUUAAUUUCAGAAAAAAAAAAUCUUUCUUUUUAUGGAAAGAACUAUAUCAUAAUCAGUUACUUCAAAAUUAGAAAUUUUAAAAGUUCCACAUAUGCAAAUCUUACCAACACUGGCUUAAUUUGUAGCAGUGUCUCAACUGAGCUGCACCAAAGAGUAUAAAAGGUCUAGAAUGAUGAUAGCAAUAUUAGGAUUGAAGAUAGAUUUAAGUGAAACAUAAAUUGUGGGUAAAGGUGGUGUAGAUUAUUUUUUUUGGGGAACCAUUUUGUGUGACGUUUUGCUGUGCACCAAAAUUGAAAGAAAGUCCCACAUUUUGAAAACACCUGU
Molecule: RNA transcript, 1994 nt
Organism: Vigna radiata var. radiata (mung bean)
Lineage: Eukaryota; Viridiplantae; Streptophyta; Magnoliopsida; Fabales; Fabaceae
Exons: 5
Source: RefSeq, a predicted model, not a curated record